UUAGGAUAUUACAAGGUGAUCGCUAUUACAAAAGAAGCCAACCGGUGGUCCUUAUUAGGAUAUUACAAGGUGAUCGUUGUUAAAGUAGAAUCCAACCGGUGGAGGGAGGAACAGGAUGAGGGAAGAAGAAGAAAAGAAAGAAAAGAUGGAUGGGUAUUUUGGGGAACAAAAUAUCAUCCACUACCUCUGAUGAACACGUUCGGAGGUAACAAACUUGCUGAAUGAUUUGAAGAAAUUUUCAGAUUCCAGAGGAUGAGUUCGGAGGCAUUGCCGAAUGACCCUGAAGCGCCGAAAAGUAAAAAUUUCAGUGUUCAGAAGUCGAUUCAAUGCUACCGAUUUACAUAUCAGUUGGGUGAACUGGAGACAAAAUCAUACACACCCUAUUGAACUACCUACAGUUGAAUAUGCUAAACAUUGGCGUGUUCAACCGUGAUAGAUAGUUUAGCUAGGUGUGUAUAUUUUUGUCUCCAGCUAAUCCGCUCCUUUCAUAUUAUCCUACGAAAGCUCCAUAGUUCCUACUACAAGUCUCGCUCCCUCCAUUUUGCAUGUAUAACGCGUGUCACCCUAUUUCUCCACUUCUCUCUUCAGUCCUCACCUCGUGUUCUUUCUCUCUCCUGAUUUCAGAACUGAAGUCAAUUCGCCGCUACUUCUGUUCUUCGACUACUCGCCACCAUCAACGCUGCCAUAGGACCAUUCUAUAUAUUGAAAUCCUAGCCCCAACCUGAACUGCUCGAGGACAAGGGCUCGCUUUCGCCAUGGUGAGAUCAAGAGAUCGAUCCUAGCUGUUUCUUAUCCUCCUCUUUGCCAUGAUUUUUUCCUCCAUCUCCUUGCAUGAUACACACGUAUACCCAUUCUCUCCUUUCUUCCCGCUCUCCCCAUCUUGUCUAUCUAUUUUGCCGCCGCUGCUUCUCUUCAUUUCUCUCCCUCUUUUCCUUUAUCCCUCCUUCCUCUCCCUCGUCUGAGAAUUCAUGGAAGCUGCUCUAGAGCCUUUAGCCUCUACUUUCCCUCUUUUUAAUGGCAUAUUUGGUGACUUAUUAUUUGAAUGGGGUUUAUCUCCAUAGUGAAAACGGUAAUAGCACUGGUGCCGUUACCAUCUCUAUUUCUGGGUGAAGAUAAAAUUUCGGUGGCUCUGCUUCCCGUCUCUAUUUCUGCUCAAGAGCAUGUCUGGUCACACAAGUCCAGUUGAAUGUGUAGCUUUUGAUUCAACAGAGGUUUUGGUGGUUACAGGAGCUUCUACUGGUGCAAUAAAGCUGUGGGAUUUGGAGGAAGCAAAGAGCAAGUCUAUGAAAUUAGAUCUACUAAAACAGUCAUUGAAUGGUUACCUGGUUCUUUCUUCUCCCUCACACAUUUGCUGAAUACAUUUUCAUAGGGAUUUCAUUUAUUACCUUGUCUCAUCCUCAGCUUCUCUGUCUUCUACUACGAGAUUAUGAAUGCCCCGAAAAGGAGAACAACUUGCACCUGGGAAUUGUUGCUAGCAACAGAUUGGUGGAGCCAUGGAAGAAGGGAUCCAAUAGUCUAGGUCAAGUGUGGGAUUGAGAAAGUAAAACACCAAGUAACCAAGCAAGAAAUGGUCAACCAGAUGGGCAAACAUUAAUUUUUGAAAUUAUUGGAGUUAUUCACUAUUUAGUAGACAUCAUAUCUCCUAAUUGUAAACCUUUCUUCUUUUUCCACUAAACAAUCUAAUUUAUCCUUCAAAAAUUUGUAUGGAUGUUAUUAAAGGAAUACCUCUUAUAUAAACUAAUUUCUUUUUAUUCUG
Molecule: RNA transcript, 1756 nt
Organism: Nelumbo nucifera (sacred lotus)
Lineage: Eukaryota; Viridiplantae; Streptophyta; Magnoliopsida; Proteales; Nelumbonaceae
Source: RefSeq, a predicted model, not a curated record